GAAAGCCACUGUUGUGAGAAGGGAAAAAAAAAAAAAAAAAAAAAAAAGGGCAGUCAGCAGCAGAGCCAGCCUGGCAGCAUCUCUGGUGCUGCAGCUUUCAUCCAUAGUAAAGGCUAUAGGUUGUGAGCAGCAGCUGGGUCAGGGUCUCCACAGUGGGGCUGAGGUUCUCUAAAGCCAGAGCCAACCACGUGGGAAGGAUGGAGCCCCCCUUUUCUUUUGAACCCUGUCCCUGGGCUGCAGCACCCUCUGAGACAGAAACUUUUCAUUGUGUGUGUCAGAAGUUUCUCUUGCUGCAGUUUGUGUCUCUGGCCUCUUGUCCCUUGUUGGGCACCUCUGAGAUGGGUCUAGCUGUGUCUUCUUUGUGACGCCCUUUAGUCUUAGGGACAGCAAGAACCUUUACAUGGGGGGAGAUGACUGUAUCAGGCUGCAAGUGUAGAAUGACAAAGUUGGUAGCAGCUGCAGUUCCUUUCUGAUGCAUAUAACUGACAGAUGGUGCCAAAUCCCUGGGCUUGACCUCCCACAUCCUCACAAAAAGCCUCACUGAAGCUUCGAAGGGUGCUUUCCCAAGGCUGUCACCCAGCCAGGAGCUGUGUCCCCGUCCUUCUGUUUGGGGGCCAGCACAAGCCCAUGGUGUACCCACUGCCCACUCACGGCCACCCGCCAGCUCAGAAAUCACCCACCAGACACAGCACCCACCGCGGGGACUUUUAUUCUCAAGCACAAGCUGUAGGCUGCCAUUCCCAGCAGAGCGGCUCCGCGCCUUGGUGCCCAGCCCUGAGGGAGGCGAGGCCCCGCGUGGGACCCUGGCAGCCCGGUGGGGACGGGAGCUGCAGGGGGGCCGCUGAGGAGCAGCUGGAGCAGGGAGCAAAUUAAUUUCCCCAGUGUUAGACCUGAGUACAUUGACACUAGAUGUAGACCUGACCACUGAAAGUUUUGCAUUUAUGGCAUUGCAAUCUGCUGCAGUUAGUGCUCUCGUAGGACUGGCAGGGCUAGGAGGCAGUGGUGUUUCCAAAGAUGAAAUCGUUUGUCAGCAAUGUUGCAAUGUGCUAUUUUCUAAGGAUAACUGUAUUAUGUAAGAGCUUGGGUGUAAGUGGUGCUCUCAGCCAGCAGGAAAGAAACAGUGUUUUCUGCAUCAAUAACAAUUUGAUUUUGGUAGAUAUCCUAGCUCAGUAACUAGCCAAGAAACGCAUCAAAGCACAUCAUUUCUAGUCAGAGACAACAAGCUCGAAGCUCUGCCUUGUUCUCCCAUUUUCUGAUGUCAUUCCUGAAGUUAAAACGGACCUUUGUUAAAAUGGAACAGAAAAACGAGUAUUUGGCAGAUCAAAACCUGAACAGUCUUGGAAUUCUCUUCCCUGCUUAUUCUUAUGACCCCAAGUCAUUCGGACAUAUAUUUUAUAGGGAAAGAUCUGCUGCAUUGGUAGAUAGUGUAGUAAGGAGCAGCAGGAUUAGGUGCACACACCAGAAACCUUGGCCGUUUCCUGCUUCUGCAAAUGAGCAGCUCCAGGUGACUUCCCAGAUCCUCACCCAGGAUCACUACAUAGCACACAGCACCAUCCUGCUCUGGGUCCUCUCCAACCUGGCCUGGAGGCCUGGGCACAGGUGCCAGACUGUGCCAGGCUGGGAGCUUGUGUUCAUCUCCACAUUUAAAUUUACCCACUUCCAUGCUGUGCAAAGAACCGCUUCCAUUAUUUUAAAACUCAUGGCCCUGGUCUUUCAAAAAGAGACUGUGACCUUAGGGCUUUUUUCCUCAGGGUCACUGCUUUUUUUGCCAGAGCUUUGGGCCAAUGCCUUCAGAGAAACAGAGGGUUUUACAUAGCCUGAGGCCGAGCAUGAUAUUUCAACCCUCUCCUUGUCUCCCUCUUCCCAGUAAAACACAAUGUGAGCUGUUCAUAGCAGGCCCUGGGAGAAAAGCCAGUGUAUUUCUUUGUGUCUCUGGCGUGUGUGGCACCAGGCUCUGCCAGACCACGAGACAAAGGCUGGUGGUCAUUGAACUGAGAGAAGAAAGUAAUGAAAGGAGAGGAAUUUGAGUGGGAGGGGGAAGAUGUUUCUGCCUCUGCAGGGUCGUGCUUAUAGUCCUAGCAUAUUGGAAGUGGGAUUCUGCAGGUUCCCCAGCUCUGUGCCUUGGUCACCGUGUGUAUUUGAGCCAACAAAUACAUUGGCCAGAGAUGAGCUGGGAGCCUAGUGGGAAGCCCUAGAAGCAGAAGCACCUGCACACACCUGAGAAUGUGGCUGGUGCCCAUGGAACUCUGUGGAUGGAGGCAAGGGAGGGGUCUCAAUUCAGUGCCCUGCACAUAGGUUCAGGGCCUCUUCAAGUAUCUGAUGUGUGUUCUCCCAGCACAACCAUGCAUCAUGUUUGCAAAGGAACAGCUCUGGACUCCAAUGCUGGAGCACCAAAUAGCCUCCCUUUGGUAGUUCUCGUGAAAAGCACCAAACAGUUCUGCUGCCACUGCAAAUUUUCUGAAGUUGAAAACACUCGGAUGCUGUUACCUCAGCCAAAACAUGGCCUUGAGCUUAGGUCAUUUCCUGGCUGAGCCAAAGGACUAUUCUAGGUUCAUUAAAAAUAUAUGAAUUUGUUCUCCAUGCAACUGGCCCUGAGAGAAGGCAUUACAGCAUCAAUUUGCAGUGUCCCUUCUGCACCUGGUGCAGAGAGCAACCCCAGAAGGAGAGGACUGCAGGGGGUAUAAAGAGGGAAGGCAUGCUGGUGCUGAAGGCUCACAUCCUUGCAGCUCACAUCCAAGCCACAAUAACCGGCACAGAGGAAACCAAGUGGCGUGUUUUUUUUUUGUGUGUGUUUUUGUUUUGUUUUGUUUUGUUUUUAAGGUGUUUCUAAAAUACCUGCGUUUCUGUUGAAAAUAUUGUGGCUACCAGUGAGUGAUUCAGGUCUACCUUCUGUCAAAGCAGAGAUGACUAUAUUUAGAGCAUGUUUUGUAAAAUUCCUUUGAUCAGAUCCCUAAAUCCCUUUUAAAACAAACUAGAUGAUAUCCCAUGGCUUUAAAGUACCUUAGUAAUUUUUGGUCUAGAAACAUAACAGGUAACAAUUGGCAGAUGAUACCUUCUGAAGUGAGUCUCAUGUUCUAGACUGCACUAAAAGGGGGGAAGUUGUGGUAUUUGCUUUGUUGAGCUGACUGCAUCCUCACCUCAGAAGAACACUUUCAGCUUCUAAGGUCUCUGCCAAGCAGAGCUCUCACAAACAGCAGGAGCAGAGCACUACCCUGUUAACUCUGAUCUAAACCUCAGAAAUGUAGAAACUGUUAUAAAAAUAAUGCCUAGUUACCAGGAGUUUGGCAAGUAAAGUUUCAUAACUAAAUCAAUUUUCAAGGCAGAUUGAUUAUAUAAAGACAGAAUAAUAAAUGGUUCACCUUCCAUCACUGACUUUAGGCAAGUAUCACCAGAAAUUAUCUGAAGAUUUUGGCAGCCACAGGGAACUGGAGCUCCUUACAGGAAGCUCAUCUCAGGCAGAUCAUUAUGACAACUUUUUUUUUUUUCUUCCAACCAAAAUAAAUAGGCUAAGCCCCAAAUACAUCACCCAUAUCAGUGUUUCAACCAACUGCAUCCAUUUAAACUGUGCAAAAGAAGCUCCACAGCUCUCCCUAGUGAGGACUGUCAGUACAAGAGUGGAAGUGUUUCUGAGCACAGGUUGAAGACGAUGUUUUCCUUACACAGCAACCCCCCAGGGAGUACUCCAGCCCUGCUAAGUCAUUCAGACAAAAUUAUUCUACUAAUGAAUCACCCACGGCUGAACCUGUGUGUGACUUAAGCCUUAUUUACAGAAUAAAUACCAAAUUAUUUAUCUAAUUUCUAAAUAAAAUUAAUAAAAUCACUGUAUUUUUCCCAGGUAAUCCCUGAUCUUAUGCAGGAUGUGAGUGAAAAGCUAUUUGGUAGCAGAGGAGUAUUUAAAAUUCAACUUAUAGUGUGUGUGUAUAUAUGGUUGUAUGUAUUAAUUCACAGGCAUGUUUCUGUCCCGGGUUGCUGAUGAGUGGCACAUUUGGAAGUAGAGUUUGCACCCCUGCUGCCCCUCCCUUGCUCCCCAAGGCUCCAGGCACUGCUUUGUGAUGCACUGCACAGCCACAGUCCCUGCCUCCCAGGCAUUAAAAUCAAGGUUGGAUGUUAAUCACAAGUUUUUAUGGCAAUGAGUUUGGGCUUUUUAACCUGAACUUCCCACUGUCUCAGGUUUGAUCUGAUGUCACCUCUGCAGUACAAGGAAAUCAGGGUCAGCAGGAAUAGAUUUUAUUGCCAGAUUUAAAUUAGUAUGCAUUGAAUCGCCACCCAGUUCUUUCAAUGAACAACAGCAGCAAGUAAAGCAUUCCUGGCUCACAUGCUUCCUUUCAAUAAGUUUUUACAGUGGCUGUUACAGAAACUGUACAUAUCCUUGGAGGGAGCGAUACAGUAUAAGAACUGUGUUUGCAGGAGGAAAGGGGAAUUCAUCCAUGCUGAGGACACAUACUUCAAGUCAUUGUCCCCAUGGCCCUGGGAUGGGACAGCAGGACACAUGGCAUAGGGUGUGGGGUGGGGAGGAACAGACAGCCUGGCACAUCUCCGUCACUGGGUCUGAUGGCAGAUGUCACUUCUGCCCUCACACUGUGGCAGUAGCUGAGCUCAACCUGUUUGUGGGGGUCAUCAGCUGAGCCCUGAGCCUCCUGCCCUGCAGCAGCCCCUGUGGGGAUGUGACCCCACACACUGGCUCCCAGGCACAUCACCUGUGCUGGGGGCACCACGCCAGGGUUCAUGGCAGGGACACCUGACUCAACCCAUCACCUGACGCCAGCACUGAGGCCACCACCCAUCCUCACCCUAACCCUGACUUAGUUUCUCUAAGGGCUGGCAGACCUUUGUGCCCAGUACUGUAUGCGACGUGUCUGUACUCCAGCAUCUCCAUAGUUACAUGCAACACUAACACAACGGUUUAUGGGGGGUCACACCUGCCUGUCACACCCUUGUAGUCCAGGCAGGGCCCUGUAUUUAAGGGGUGCCCAAAGGCCAGCCCCACCACCUCGGGCUGCUGUGCGAGAUUGACAGUUGGAGCUACAGCUUUCAGACGGGGCUGUUCUGCAGCAUAGCUCAAAGGCCGUGAGAAGAUGUCAGCCCCCCACCCAGGACCACACGGAGGGCCACCACCACCACAUCCUGGGCCUGGCGUGCCAGGGGG
RNA transcript from Cygnus olor (mute swan), 5146 nucleotides. It is a transcript of the gene named zinc finger protein 664-like, with no coding region annotated. The record is from RefSeq and is a predicted model, not a curated record. The transcript has 3 exons. Lineage: Eukaryota; Metazoa; Chordata; Aves; Anseriformes; Anatidae.